Molecule: ribosomal RNA, 329 nt
Filed under: Stylochus sp.
Lineage: Eukaryota; Metazoa; Platyhelminthes; Polycladida; Stylochidae
Description: eukaryotic LSU rRNA
Rfam family: Eukaryotic large subunit ribosomal RNA
Source: RNAcentral
AUAACAANNAUUCCUCUAUUAACGGCGAGCGAACGAGGAAAAGCCCAGCACCGAAUCCUGUAUCGUUCUGAUACUAGGAAAUGUGGUGUUUAGGCCGUGCUUUGUGCCGGUAUGACUCUCCUCAAGUCCACUUGAUUGUGGCUUCAGGCCCAGAGAGGGUGUAAGGCCCGUGGAGGCGAGUCGUCCGGUGCCCGGCACGUCCUUCGAGUCGGGUUGUUUGGGAAUGCAGCCCAAAGCGGGUGGUAAACUCCAUCCAAGGCUAAAUACUAGCACGAGUCCGAUAGCGAAGAAGUACCGCGAGGGAAAGUUGAAAAGAACUUUGAAGAGAG